AAGCUCGUAGUUGAAUUUCGGGGUUAGUAGGUUGGUCAUGCCUCUGGUAUGUACUGGUCUCACUGAUUCCUCCUUCCUUAUGAACCGUAAUGCCAUUAAUUUGGUGUUGCGGGGAAUUUGGACUGUUACUUUGAAAAAAUUAGAGUGUUUAAAGCAAGCUAACGCUUGAAUACAUUAGCAUGGAAUAAUGAAAUAGGACGUUCGAUCUUAUUUUGUUUGGUUUUCUUAGGAUUGUACGCAAUGAUUAAUAGGAUAGUUGGG
Molecule: ribosomal RNA, 261 nt
Filed under: uncultured Glomus
Lineage: Eukaryota; Fungi; Glomeromycota; Glomeromycetes; Glomerales; Glomeraceae
Description: partial 18S ribosomal RNA
Rfam family: Eukaryotic small subunit ribosomal RNA
Source: RNAcentral